RNAcentral lists this ribosomal RNA (260 nucleotides) under uncultured bacterium. RNAcentral's name for it is "partial 16S ribosomal RNA". It matches the Rfam family "Bacterial small subunit ribosomal RNA", at positions 793 to 1050 of the family's 1533-position model. The record is from RNAcentral.
GUCCACGCCGUAAACGAUGAUAACUAGCUGUCCGGACACUUGGUGUUUGGGUGGCGCAGCUAACGCAUUAAGUUAUCCGCCUGGGGAGUACGGCCGCAAGGUUAAAACUCAAAUGAAUUGACGGGGGCCUGCACAAGCGGUGGAGCAUGUGGUUUAAUUCGAAGCAACGCGCAGAACCUUACCAGCGUUUGACAUGGCAGGACGACUUCCAGAGAUGGAUUUCUUCCCUUCGGGGACCUGCACACAGGUGCUGCAUGGCU